This 326-nucleotide ribosomal RNA is filed under the name uncultured bacterium. RNAcentral's name for it is "bacterial SSU rRNA". It matches the Rfam family "Bacterial small subunit ribosomal RNA", at positions 29 to 377 of the family's 1533-position model. The record is from RNAcentral.
AACGAACGCUGGCGGCAGGCCUAACACAUGCAAGUCGAGCGAACCCUUCGGGGUUAGCGGCGGACGGGUUAGUAACGCGUGGGAAUAUACCCUUUGGUACGGAAUAGCCUCGGGAAACUGAGAGUAAUACCGUAUGUGCCCUUCGGGGGAAAGAUUUAUCGCCAAAGGAUUAGCCCGCGUUGGAUUAGAUAGUUGGUGGGGUAAUGGCCUACCAAGUCUACGAUCCAUAGCUGGUUUGAGAGGAUGAUCAGCAACACGUGGGACUGAGACACCGGCCCAGACUCCGUACGGGAGGCAGCAGGUGGGGAAUCUUAGACAAGUGGGCG